Long non-coding RNA from Galeopterus variegatus (Sunda flying lemur), 157 nucleotides. RefSeq lists it as uncharacterized. The record is from RefSeq and is a predicted model, not a curated record. The transcript has 2 exons. NCBI's taxonomy places the organism in Eukaryota, Metazoa, Chordata, Mammalia, Dermoptera, Cynocephalidae.
AGUUCCUAACAGAUAUAGGAGCAACCUUUUUUAUAGUUUCAGAUACCAUAGGCCUGGGGCAUGGGUUGAUCCUCUGCUAGGUUUUUGCCACAUAGUCAAGGUAUGAAUUGUCAAUAAAAUAACUCUAUUAAUAAAAUGUCUUAUUCUUUAAAAACAA